RNAcentral lists this ribosomal RNA (404 nucleotides) under Actinomycetes bacterium. RNAcentral's name for it is "Actinobacteria bacterium partial 16S ribosomal RNA". It matches the Rfam family "Bacterial small subunit ribosomal RNA", at positions 355 to 776 of the family's 1533-position model. Lineage: Bacteria; Bacillati; Actinomycetota; Actinomycetes. The record is from RNAcentral.
UGGGGAAUAUUGGACAAUGGGCGCAAGCCUGAUCCAGCCAUGCCGCGUGAGUGAUGAAGGCCCUAGGGUUGUAAAGCUCUUUCACCGGUGAAGAUAAUGACGGUAACCGGAGAAGAAGCCCCGGCUAACUUCGUGCCAGCAGCCGCGGUAAUACGAAGGGGGCUAGCGUUGUUCGGAUUUACUGGGCGUAAAGCGCACGUAGGCGGACUUUUAAGUCAGGGGUGAAAUCCCGGGGCUCAACCCCGGAACUGCCUUUGAUACUAGAAGUCUUGAGUAUGGUAGAGGUGAGUGGAAUUCCGAGUGUAGAGGUGAAAUUCGUAGAUAUUCGGGGGAAAACCAGUGGCGAAGGCGGCUCACUGGACCAUUACUGACGCUGAGGUGCGAAAGCGUGGGGAGCAAACAGG